Molecule: long non-coding RNA, 1168 nt
Filed under: Mytilus galloprovincialis (Mediterranean mussel)
Lineage: Eukaryota; Metazoa; Mollusca; Bivalvia; Mytilida; Mytilidae
Source: RNAcentral
GCUUGCUACUUGGCGUGUUGUUGUUGUGUGUACUUGCUAUGUGAACUACUUAUGACUGUGCAGUUUGUAUAAUGUGUGCGACCAAUUUGUGUCUGACCAAUGUACUGACUGAUAACCUCUGACUGGUUGAUGAUUUUGACGUACGAUAACCUCUGACUGGUUGACUGGAAAAAUACAGACAAUUCGAAAUAUAUAACUUUAUUUGUUGAUGGUCGCUUUGCAAGUGAUAAUAUAUUAUACAUUACACAAUAGACAUGAUAGAAUGAUAUAUAAUAUAAAACACAACAUAAUGACAUUGGAAUAGCAAUCACACAAUUCUUUACACGGAUACAAAUAAAAUACUGAAACAUUGUAUCGGGCCAAGCAGAAGUCACAUUUAAUCUGAAUAAUGAUACGACAUCAUUAAUGACUGAUUUAUGAAAUAGAAUGGGGAAACUAGCAGAAUAUUGAAUGACGGGGGAAACUAACUUGAAACAUAAUAAAAGAAUGACUAAAGUCAUUUGCCUUACUUACUAAAACAGAUCUCAAUAUAUGAUAGCUCAUUUAAUACCAAAUAUAGAUUUUGACUAUAAGUUUCAAUGCUCAAUUUAGACUGACUGUAUUUUGCAUACACACUUUAUAAAACUUGCUUAUCAAAGCUGUAACACGACAGUAGGAAUUGUGACUUAUGAUAACGAAGAAUAAAGACAAUAUAAAACAUUACAAUAAUUAACUAAACGUGCUAUUUACAUAAAAACAGUGGCUUGCUGCAGUUUCAUAUGUUUGACUCGGAUCACCCUCGAUGAGGAGACAUCUCAACCUUUCGACAUGACAAGAAUAUUGAUUGCAUGAUUAUGCUUGAAUUAUGAAUUGAAUUUACCUUCAGAGUCUAUGAUAAACAUGACAUAAGAACUUAAUAAAGAGAAACCCAUGUUGAUUUAAUAUCUGAGUUGACUGAAAACGCUGUUUUCAAAUGGGAGGUAACUCUUUAUUGAACUGCCUAAAAACCUGACUAUACCUUGCAGCAGCGCACUGAUACUUUCAUUAAUAAAAUACAUUGAAUAAAAUAAGAAAACUAACUACGCUAAAAUAAGACAAAUAACUUGUCCUUUUCAUACAUAUAAAAACAAUAAUUACAUAUGUACAUUUAAUAACUGAUACACUUCCUUAGCUGAAGAUUGAAAUCAUU